RNAcentral lists this non-coding RNA (104 nucleotides) under Halobacillus mangrovi. RNAcentral describes it as "Guanine sequence". It matches the Rfam family "Purine riboswitch aptamer". Rfam says of the family: Riboswitches are metabolite binding domains within certain messenger RNAs that serve as precision sensors for their corresponding targets. Allosteric rearrangement of mRNA structure is mediated by ligand binding, and this results in modulation of gene expression. Lineage: Bacteria; Bacillati; Bacillota; Bacilli; Caryophanales; Bacillaceae. The record is from RNAcentral.
AUCAAUUUAAAUAAUAUUACUCGUAUAUUCUCGGAAAUAUGGUCUGAGCGUCUCUACCCGGUUCCCAUGGAAAGAACUGGACUACGAGUUAAAGUAUAUGCUUG